GGUAGAAUCCCUAAAUCUUCAACUAAAUUUAACUGUCAGUCUAAAGAGGGACAGCUCUUUAGACCCUAGGAAACAACCUUACUACAGAGAGUAAAAAAUAUUACCACCAUAGUUGGCCCAAAAGCAACCACCAAUUAAGAAAGCAUUUAUGCUCAACAUCUAACUAUC
Nomascus leucogenys (northern white-cheeked gibbon) is the source of this 168-nucleotide long non-coding RNA. RefSeq lists it as uncharacterized. The record is from RefSeq and is a predicted model, not a curated record. The transcript is spliced from 3 exons. Lineage: Eukaryota; Metazoa; Chordata; Mammalia; Primates; Hylobatidae.